Long non-coding RNA from Zonotrichia albicollis (white-throated sparrow), 841 nucleotides. Lineage: Eukaryota; Metazoa; Chordata; Aves; Passeriformes; Passerellidae. The record is from Ensembl.
CAAGGGGGAAACAUCACAACGUAUCAUCAAUAUUUUUAGUUCCCCAUGAAUGAUUUACAUUCCCCUGCACUAUCAGAUAUUUUCAAAAGAACAUAUCAAAACUGGAGAGCAGUGCACUUGGUUCAUGUAACGUUAAAUUUGCUGCAAAAAGCCCUAUGAAUUCAAAGCUCUGAGAUCAAGUUCUGAUUUCUGAUGUUGGGCACACGCUUGCAGUCUGGCUUUGAAAAGUUUCAGUGGGUCUGGGGAAUUUUAAGGCUCUGUGAUGAUAUGACUACAGGCAAGUCCCCACUGAGCUCUGGUGCACAGCAUUAAAACAGAACCCACGUCUCUGGGAGUGACUGGCACAAAUAUCUGCUCUUUUCUGCUGCCUAAGCACAGGGGAGCUAAGCCUCUGCCAUCAGGGGGCUGGCACGCCAUCCCAACUCAAGACAUGGCUAGCACUCAACUCUCCCAAAGGAAGCUGGGACCACUGGUUUUCAGAUGCUGAAGUGCUGCAGGCAACCUCCAAUUAUUGAGCAUUUUAAUAAAAAAUAAAGCAGCAUCAUCAUCUUUUCUGUCCUACAAUGAGCUCCGAGAUCCUCUGCUUCAAUAGAUGGCCAGUAAAGGGCCACUGAUACAGCAGUACACAGUUCUGCAGCCCCCCUCACCACUGGGCUUAACCUUCACUGGACUAACCAGAAAAAGUGGCACCAGGACUAGGACUGGAGAUGUGGAUCAUCAUGCAAAGAUUCAAUUUUUUUUUUCUCAUUGUGGUGACUAUCAGUAAUGGGUAGUAACCAGCCCAUGUCUACAGCAUUUACGUGAUGUAAAUCCAUGAGCACAGGCAUUUGUCUUGAACACA